Molecule: long non-coding RNA, 3645 nt
Filed under: Capra hircus (goat)
Lineage: Eukaryota; Metazoa; Chordata; Mammalia; Artiodactyla; Bovidae
Description: lncRNA (ENSCHIG00000004199.1)
Source: RNAcentral
CCCAAUUGCAAAGCCAAGAGCAUCCCAGGGGUCCUAAUCCCCCUGCUCUUGGCUCCCAACCCUCAUCCUCACCCUCCCUGCCCCCACCAGCGCAGCCACUUUGUUCUUGGAACCUGGCACCGGCUUGUCCAAGGUCGGGAGCCCAGCGGCUACAAAGAACACUACUGAUACGAAGCCGGAAGGCUAGUGUAGCGGACUCCAAAGAUCCGUAGCCACAUGCGCCGCCCUGGAGCCUGCCGUCCUGCGAUGAGAUACAACUGGGCACACAGCCACCAGCUCUGGGAGACCUUGCGGGAAGCUAUGAGGCCUCAGCUGCACGCAUAUGGCCAAAUUUGCUCCACACCUUUGAGUCCACAGGUCUGGUGAGCUACACCAGAGGCUGCCGGUGUAGCACAGUUAAAUAUGAAGCUCGCGCCUGCAAACCUGUGAGUUCUGGUUUGUUUGCAGUUGCAGACUGUUCAGAAAGUAGCAGCUCAGACACUGCCUCCUCCCAAUCUUGCCCUUAGUGCCUGCCCCUCCUGGGCUCAAGAACAUCACGUACUGAUCCCACACCCACCAGGCGCUGCACAGCUUCUGCAGCAGGUGCGGGAUGGAGUUUCCACGCAUCCGUCUCUGACCUCUGGAUUUAUGGUUUUGCCUCACACUGCCUGGACGAGGGGAAAUUUUCCUGAAGGUGGAGCCGUAUUUGCCCGUUGCCAGGGAGACGAAGGUCACAUGACAUCUAGCCCACCAAUCAGAAGUGAAGACUCCAGGGGAUCCGCCCACCGUCCUCGCUCUUUGCACUCGGAGCUCGACUGAGGUAGCGUCUGCAGCUGUGUUCUCCGCGUCUGAGGUAGAACCUAGCAUUAUGGCCACCCGGUCGUGUUUGGAGAAGAAGCAGAAGCCACAGCAGGUGGCUGCUGUGCCCUCGAGGUCCAUGUCUUUGCCGCCAUCUUCUCCAAGGUCUCAGCCCAGCAGGUCUGCUUCUUUGAGGAACCACGCGUCGCAGCUGGUUCCUGCCCUUCAAAGCCAGGCCACAGCACCAGGUCCUGCUCCCCGCAGUGAAGCAGCGGGUCCUGGCCCUCACCUCCGCAGCGGUGCAGCUGUGCAACGCCCUGCCCUCCGGGGCAGCAUCACCCCAUCAGGUCCUGUUCUCCGCAGUCAGGCAGCCAGGCCAGGCCCUGCUCUCCGUAGCCACACAUCCGGGUCCGGUGCAGCUGAUAAGGGCCCUGCUGGCUUUUACCGCUGUGCCCCCGAGCCAGGCCCACCUCGUCGCAGUCGCCGUCUACCCGGGCCGAGCCCUGCUCUUGGGCGUCAAGCAUCAGCGCCCGGCCCUGCUCGACGCCGAAGCCGUGCACCCAAGCCAGGCCCAACUCGCGGCGGUAUACCCGAAGCAGGCCCCGCUUUCCGCCGCCGCAGCGCUUCCGCGCCUGGCCCUGAUGGUUGUGGCAGCCCUACUUCUGUGCCUGGCCCUGCUCGUCGCCGCCGCUCUGCUUCCGCACCUGGCCCUAAUCAUUGCGGCUUCCCUGCUUUGGCGCCUGGCCCUGGUCGUCGCAGCGGCCCUGCAUCCACGUCUGGCCCUGCGCUUCGCCCGCGCGGUGGUUCGGCACCUGGCCCUGUUCGUCGUGGCCGCUCUGCUUUGGCGCCUGGCCCACAUCCUCGUGGCGCCCCUGCUUCGGCGGCUGGCCGUAGUAGUCGACGCCUCUGUGGUUCCGCGCCUGGCCCUGCUUUUCGCGGCCGCCCUGCGUCCGCGCCGGGCCGUUCUCGUCCGCAACGCGGUGCUUCCGCGCCUGGUCCUGCUAGUCACGGCCGACCUGCUUUGGCGCCUAGCCCUUCUUUGGCGCCUAGCCCUGCUUCGGCGUCUGGCCCUGAUCGUCGCCGCCACGGUGGUUCCGCGCCUGGCCCUGUUCUUCGCGGUCGCCCUGCUUCCACGCGUGGCUCUGAUCCUCGUGGCGGCCGUGUUUCUGCACCUGGCCGUGCUCGUCGUGGCCGCCCUGCUUUGGCACCUGUCCCUGGUCCUCGUGGCAGCCCUGCUUCCGCGGCUGAUCAUGCUCGUCGCGGCCGCCCUGCUUUUGCGCCUGGUGGAGAUCUUCGCAGGGGUUCUGCUUUGGUGCCUGGUCCUGAUCGUCGCAGCGGCCCUGCUUCCGCGCCUGGCCCUGCUCGUCGCAGCGGCCCUGCUUCCACUCCUGGCCUGGAUCUUCGCGGCUGUCCUGCGUCCCCGCCAGGCCCUGCUCGUCGCCGCCGUCGCCACCUUGGUUCCACGUCUGGCCCUGAUCAUCCCGGCUGCUCUGCUUCCACGCCUGGCCCUGCUCGCCGCCGCCGCCUUGGUUCCACGUCUGGCCCUGAUCAUCGCGGCCGCCCUACUUCCGUGUCUGGCCCUGCUCGUCGCGGUCGCCCUGCCUCCACGCCUGGCCCGGAUCUUCGCGGCCGUCCUGCUUCCACGCCUGGCCCUGCUCGUCGCCGCCGCCGCCGCCUUGGUUCCACGCCUGGCCCUGAUCUUCGCGGCCGUCCUGCUUCCACGCCUGGCCCUGCUCGUCGCCGCCGCCGCCCUGCCUCCACGCCUGGCCCUGAUCAUCGCGAGCGCUCUGCUUCCACGCCUGGCCCUGCUCGUCGCCGCCGCCGCCUUGCUUCCACGCCUGGCUCUGAUCAUCGCCGCCGCUCUGCUUCCAUGCCUGGCCCUGCUGGUCGCCGCCGCGGUGGUUCCGUGCAUGGCCGAGCUGGCAGCCGCCGAAGUGCUUCGCGUCGCCGUGCAUAUGGGCCAGGCCCUGCCCUGAGAAGCCGCGCAGUGGGGCUAGGCCCUCCCCUCCAAAGCCUCAGCCCUACUUCAGGCUCUGCCCUCCGGGGCCGGGCCACCCAGCGAAGAUCACCACCUACUAGCUGCCCCUCUCCCGUUGGGCCUAAUGGUGAGAGUCCUCCUUCAUCCCCUGGGUUCGCCGUAGGAGGGCUUCCCCGCCAGAGCAGCUCAAGUUCUCUUGAAUCCGAGGCCCCAAGCCUUACUCCCCAGCGAGUUUGGCAUGCAGUCCGUAUGCGUGCCUCCUCACCCUCACCUCCUGGUAGGUUCUUUACUUUCCCUAGGGAGUAUGCUGAGAAUUCAUCCUCUUCCUCUUGCUCUAACUCCCCUGGGUCUUCUGACCAGAGCUCCCCCCCAUCCCCCAUUAAUUUUUCCGACGGGAGAUCCCUUAACUCUUCCGCUAGUUUUUCCGGUGUGGGUUCCAUCUCCACUCCUAGCCCUGCUGCCGUUAGGCGUGUCUUGCUGCCAGAGCUUGAAGCCCUGAGCCCUCUCUCCUUAGAAGAGCCGGCUGAAAUAGGGAGCCCGCCUCCCUCUCCUCCACCUCCUGUGCUAUGAUUCUCAUGAGCAUCCUCAUGAGUCCUGCGGAAGCAAUCAAUAUCCAUCUCAUUGCCCUGAAUGGGCUGCCUGUUCCGCGAUUACCUGUGAGGUUUACAAAUGUUCUAGCCAUUAACCAGCAUUAUGAGCAGUUUUGAAGCUCUUGUUUGGCAAGGCAGUUUUGAAGUCUCUCCUUCCUGUAAUGGCACUGCUUAGCGUUUAUCUGCUCUUGGCACUUAAUUCCAGCCCCUGCUUAUCCCCGCGAAAGGCCUGUGUUUGCCUCUAAGUUAAGCUUUCCCUUUUCCAAGUUGCGUUUAUGCAAUGAAAUUUUUGAAUAAAGU